Molecule: ribosomal RNA, 158 nt
Filed under: Lepiota rufipes
Lineage: Eukaryota; Fungi; Basidiomycota; Agaricomycetes; Agaricales; Agaricaceae
Description: 5.8S ribosomal RNA
Source: RNAcentral
CUUCAUCGAUGCGAGAGCCAAGAGAUCCGUUGCUGAAAGUUGUAUAGAUUUAUAGGCACAGAGGCCCAUGUAAUACAUUCUAUGACAUGCUAUGUGGUAUAUGAAAGGACAUAGACUUGAGGUAACAGAUAAGGCUUCAUUUGCAGAGAGCUGUACUU